GAUGAACGCUGGCGGCGUGCUUAACACAUGCAAGUCGAACGGAAAGGCCCAAGCUUGCUUGGGUACUCGAGUGGCGAACGGGUGAGUAACACGUGGGUGAUCUGCCCUGCACUUCGGGAUAAGCCUGGGAAACUGGGUCUAAUACCGGAUAGGACGAUGGUUUGGAUGCCAUUGUGGAAAGUUUUUUCGGUGUGGGAUGAGCUCGCGGCCUAUCAGCUUGUUGGUGGGGUAAUGGCCUACCAAGGCGUCGACGGGUAGCCGGCCUGAGAGGGUGUACGGCGACAUUGGGCCUGAGAUACGGCCCAGACUCCUACGGGAGGCAGCAGUGGGGAAUAUUGCACAAUGGGCGCAAGCCUGAUGCAGCGACGCGGCGUGGGGGAUGACGGCCUUCGGGGUGUAAACUCCUUUCGCUAGGGACGAAGCGUUUUUGUGACGGUACCUGGAGAAGAAGCACCGGCUAACUACGUG
This 468-nucleotide ribosomal RNA is filed under the name uncultured bacterium. RNAcentral's name for it is "partial 16S ribosomal RNA". It matches the Rfam family "Bacterial small subunit ribosomal RNA", at positions 28 to 507 of the family's 1533-position model. The record is from RNAcentral.